This is a long non-coding RNA of Syngnathus acus (greater pipefish), 417 nucleotides long. RefSeq lists it as uncharacterized. The record is from RefSeq and is a predicted model, not a curated record. The transcript is spliced from 2 exons. Lineage: Eukaryota; Metazoa; Chordata; Actinopteri; Syngnathiformes; Syngnathidae.
CAGAGCCAUAAAGGGACUCCGGAUGCUAAAUCGCAGACUGAAGGAACACUCAGGAGUGGACACCUCCAUCUGCUCUCCUCACCUUGUGUGGUUGUUGCUGCAUUCCCUGUAUCCGCGCUCUGCUAAACCGGCUUAUCUCUACAGCCUUGGCACCUACGUAUUCUACAUUAUCGGAAACUUACCCAAUGCUUCUGGCAAAUCCAGAGCUGGGGGGCGGUGGUGACGCUACGGCCCAGGGCGCUGAGAGAGGGUAUCUUCCUUUCCUGAAUCCUACUUCUCGGCCCCAAAAUGUGUACGAGAACUACAUUGGUCAACUGGUUGAUGAAUUAAUUGGAUAAAACCUAUACCGGGAGUCUUUUUGAGGAUGUUUUCUGGGGGCAAAUAUAGAAUCGAAAUAAUAAAAAGGGGGGAAAUGUU